RNAcentral lists this transfer RNA (74 nucleotides) under Perca fluviatilis (European perch). RNAcentral's name for it is "tRNA-OTHER". Lineage: Eukaryota; Metazoa; Chordata; Actinopteri; Perciformes; Percidae. The record is from RNAcentral.
GGCACGGUGGCUCAGUGGUUAGCGCGGCUGCCUCACCGCAAGUAGUCACUGCGGAGUUCGAUCCCCCCGUGUUU